This 420-nucleotide ribosomal RNA is filed under the name uncultured bacterium. RNAcentral's name for it is "partial 16S ribosomal RNA". It matches the Rfam family "Bacterial small subunit ribosomal RNA", at positions 355 to 768 of the family's 1533-position model. The record is from RNAcentral.
UGGGGAAUUUUGGACAAUGGGCGAAAGCCUGAUCCAGCAAUGCCGCGUGUGUGAAGAAGGCCUUCGGGUUGUAAAGCACUUUUGUCCGGAAAGAAAUCCUUGGCUCUAAUACAGUCGGGGGAUGACGGUACCGGAAGAAUAAGCACCGGCUAACUACGUGCCAGCAGCCGCGGUAAUACGUAGGGUGCAAGCGUUAAUCGGAAUUACUGGGCGUAAAGCGUGCGCAGGCGGUUUGCUAAGACCGAUGUGAAAUCCCCGGGCUCAACCUGGGAACUGCAUGGUGACUGGCAGGCUAGAGUAUGGCAGAGGGGAGUAGAAUUCCACGUGUAGCAGUGAAAUGCGUAGAGAUGUGGAGGAAUACCGAUGGCGAAGGCAGCCCCCUGGGCCAAUACUGACGCUCAUGCACGAAAGCGUGGGGGA